Molecule: ribosomal RNA, 305 nt
Filed under: uncultured bacterium
Lineage: Bacteria
Description: bacterial SSU rRNA
Rfam family: Bacterial small subunit ribosomal RNA
Source: RNAcentral
UCCUACGGGGGGCAGCAGUAGGGAAUUUUCGUCAAUGGGCGCAAGCCUGAACGAGCAAUGCCGCGUGAACGAGGAAGGUCUUCGGAUCGUAAAGUUCUGUUGAAGGGGAAAAAGAGCGGAGAGAGGAAAUGAACUCCGAUUGAUAUUACCCUUCGAGGAAGUCACGGCUAACUACGUGCCAGCAGCCGCGGUAAUACGUAGGUGGCGAGCGUUAUCCGGAAUGCUUGGGCGUAAAGGGUGCGUAGGCGGCCUGCUAAGACUGGAGUGAAAGGUACCGGCUCAACCGGUACAGGCUCUGGAAACUG